Molecule: RNA transcript, 8075 nt
Organism: Tympanuchus pallidicinctus (lesser prairie-chicken)
Lineage: Eukaryota; Metazoa; Chordata; Aves; Galliformes; Phasianidae
Gene: XKR4
Gene name: XK related 4
Exons: 4
Source: RefSeq, a predicted model, not a curated record
UAAAGGAGCGCUCGCCGCUACCGCUCGCUCUCCGGCGGGGCUGAGUGAAGCAUCAUGGCCGCGAAGUCGGACGGGCGGCGGAAGAUGAAGAAGGGCGGCGAGGUGGCGUUCACACCGCUGCAGAACUCCGAACACUCGGGCUCCGUGCAAGCGCUGGCCCCGGGGCUGCCCGCGGGCGCCGGGCCGGGCGGCGGCAGCGACGACGACGAGGCGCCCGGGGGCGGGUGCUGCAGCGGCGGCGGGGACGGCUCGGGCGGCGGCUCCCGCUGCUGUUGCUGCUGCUGCUGCGGCGGCGGUAGAGGAGGAGAAGGAGGGGGCGGCGGCGGGGGCUCGCGGGGCUCGGGCGGGGGCUCGUCCUCGCUUUGCCUGCGGCUGGGCAGGGAGCAGCGGCGCUACUCGCUGUGGGACUGCCUCUGGAUCCUGGCCGCGCUGGCCGUGUACUUCGCAGACGUGGGCACCGACAUCUGGCUGGCGGUCGACUACUACCUGCGAGGCCAGCGCUGGUGGUUCGGGCUCACCCUCUUCUUCGUGCUGCUGGGCUCCCUCUCCGUGCAGGUGUUCAGCUUCCGCUGGUUCGCGCACGACUUCGGCGCGGAAGACGGCACGGCCGCCGCCGCCGCCUCCGGGCAGUGCCCCGCUGCCGAGAGCAAACUGCUGGUGAGCAGCAGCUCGGCAGCCGCGGACAUCGACUCCGCUCGGCCCUGCACGCCGCAGCGGCAGGCUUCCACUGCCAGCAAGGGCAACGCCAACAGCAGCAGCAGCGGCAGCAGCGGCCCCGCUGGAGGCGGCCCCUCCAGCGGCAGCCGCGCCGGCAGCGGCAGGUCGGCGUCGUGCGCCUUCUGCAUCUGGCUCCUGCAGUCCCUCGUCCACAUCCUGCAGCUGGGGCAGGUUUGGAGGUAUUUCCACACUAUAUACUUGGGUAUCCGGAGUCGACAGAGUGGAGAGAAUGACAGAUGGCGGUUUUAUUGGAAAAUGGUGUAUGAGUAUGCAGAUGUGAGUAUGCUGCAUUUGCUAGCCACGUUUCUGGAAAGUGCACCACAGCUGGUCCUGCAGCUCUGUAUUGUUGUACAGACUCGUACACUCCAGGCUCUCCAAGGUCUUACUGCUGCAGCAUCUCUCGUAUCUCUAGCUUGGGCUCUGGCUUCCUACCAGAAGGCCCUCCGUGACUCCCGUGACGACAAGAAACCCAUCAGUUACAUGGCUGUUAUAAUCCAGUUUUGCUGGCAUUUCUUCACCAUUGCAGCAAGGGUCAUUACUUUUGCUCUCUUUGCCUCGGUUUUCCAGCUGUACUUUGGGAUCUUCAUCGUGCUCCACUGGUGCAUCAUGACCUUCUGGAUUGUCCACUGCGAGACAGAGUUUUGCAUCACCAAAUGGGAGGAGAUAGUUUUCGACAUGGUUGUUGGAAUUAUCUAUAUCUUCAGCUGGUUUAACGUCAAGGAAGGAAGGACACGCUGUAGGCUUUUCAUUUACUAUUUUGUGAUCCUUUUGGAAAACACCGCCUUGAGUGCUCUCUGGUAUCUCUACAAGGCCCCACCAAUCUCCGAUGCAUUUGCCAUACCAGCACUGUGUGUGGUGUUCAGCAGCUUUCUGACAGGCAUUGUUUUUAUGCUGAUGUACUAUGCCUUCUUUCAUCCCAACGGACCAAGGUUUGGGCAGUCGCCAAGCUGUGCUUGUGAGGACCCUGCAGCUGCCUUUACCCUACCCACGGAAGUGGCAACAAACACCCUUCGGUCCAUCUCCAACAACCGGAGUGUGACGAGUGAGCGGGAUCAAAAGUUCGCAGAGAGGGAUGGGUGUGUGCCUGUGUUCCAGGUGAGGCCCACUGCUCCAUCCACACCUUCGUCCCGCCCACCCCGGAUCGAGGAGUCGGUCAUUAAGAUCGAUCUGUUCAGGAACAGGUACCCAGCCUGGGAGAGACACGUGUUGGACAGGAGCCUGAGGAAGGCAAUCCUAGCGUUUGAAUGUUCCCCUGCUCCUCCACGGCUACAGUAUAAAGAUGAUGCCCUCAUCCAGGAGCGUUUGGAAUACGAAACCACAUUAUAGACAAAGCAAAAACGCAGCUUGGAGAAGCUCUGCCGUUACAGUCCAAGUUAAGGAUUGAUGGGAGGGCUGUAGGAAUAACAAACUGUGUACUACCAUUAGGACAACAAGCUGUAGUGUUCUUAGUCUGGCUACCAUCAUGAUUAUCAUUUGAUCCACUGUGUGCAGUCCAUCUGCAGGACACUGGUACAGCAACAUCACCUGAAAUCCUCAAAAAAUAAGCAAAAAGCCUACAACCAACCCACACAUACUGAUCAGUUUCUGGGAAAACUCACCCAUGACUCCUUGCUGCUAUGAAACUCGGACUGCAUGGUACUCACAAGCAAAUCAACAGGGGGGCUCUGACCAGAGCUUUCAACUUUAGCCAGUAGUGCAUUUUAUUUUAGAAAUGAAUGAUUGAUAUUUGCAUAAUCAAUGGCAAAAGCAAGCAAAGAAAAAUCCUCUCAAAAAUAACAAAACUGUAGCACACAAUGUUGCCAUUAUUAAAACUGGUUUCUAGGGGAAAAUAGGAGCAUAGUAGUAUUUGACACCCCAUAAAUAGAUCAUUCAGGUUAGACAGGUUUGCAAAAUAGUUCUUAAUUAAAAAGAGAAAUCAUCAUGUUAGCAAGGUUAUAAAUGGAAAAUAACUGAUUAUAUAGCUCACAAACAUUGACACCGCCAGAACUGUUUGUUUUCUGUGGAAUUUCAAAGUCUUUUUAAUUGCAAUUUAAGUCCUUUAUGUUGCUUUCAACAGAAAUCCUAUGCAGCUCUCACUUCUGGUUUUCAGGAGAAAUAAGGAGCUCCAGCACGUAGUGAUGUAAAUUAAAUGAUAAUCAUGAUUCAAUGUUCAAUUUGCAAAAAAUAUAUAUAUAUGUAUGUAAAAGAACAGGGAAGUAUAGUUUUCAUAUUCUAAAGUUUUUUGGAGGACCCCAUUCAGAUGUUUCAGAAGGAACUACAAGGAGAUGAACACGCUGAAACUUCUCUGUUUCAGAACUGGGAAUGCAUGAUUCAGUGUGAAUGUAUGCAGGGGUGACAAGAGACUGUGACAUGCCAUACCCUUCUAGUGCCAAACAUUGUGUAACCACAAGAUUGAUGUUGCCCAAGGGACAGAUCACGAGUGGCAUGAACCCUACGAGACCAAGAAGCAGGAAAGACCAAUCCAGUUCUCAACGUGUCGAGACAGCUCUGAUUUUUCCCACCCAAGGUGAAAGUGAUGUCUUUUAAAGACUUUCAGCCACCUCUGAGUCCAUGCCAAACCCAGUGUGACUUCUGGACUUGAUCCAGGGCAUUAGCAAAUGGGAUUAUCUUCUCACUGCAAGCACUGGAUGCAGAACCCACUGAGAUGCAAUAAACACAGUUCCUUAUCAUGCUGAUUUGACAGUAAUUUUGCAGGGUACAGCUGGGCUUUAAAACUUUGUUCAGUUCUCCGCAGUCUUUAUUUAUUAAAAAGAAAUUCAACAAAGCAAAAAGCCACACACACAAAUCCAAACUUUCCUUGUUCUUCCUUGUUGUACACUGUUCUCAUGAAAUUUGCUGUGUGAGGAGUGUGCCAGUUAAUUCGCAUUGGAACAGCCCUUCCAAUGUAUGUUUUCCAAAUGGAUUCCUACAAAAACUAUUAAUAAUAAACCCAGUAGUAAUUAAAAUGAACAUAUUCUCCAGUCAUUACAGCAAAAUGUACACUCAGAUAAGGCUAGGUAAUUUGUGCAUGCUUCUACCUUCCAUCUCUUAUGAUGCACAGCUCAAAGUUUCUUUUUCAGGUUGACUGACAAAUUUGAUUGUUUGGGGAAAAUGUGUGCACAAGUAUUUCUAGACCAUUAGUAAAACUGGUGAGCUUUCUGAAGCAAUUUCAUGUGAGACCGAUGAUCCUAAAAGAUUCACACUUACUGUGCUUGCAAAACCUUCUUGCAUGGUCUACAAAGAAAAAAGACACUGUCAAAGGACUGAUUGAGAAAUUUUGCCUGGUGAACACACUGAUAAGUAAUACCUACACCAGCACUCUGAAAAGGAGCAAUUAUUGUACUGGGAUUUGCCUUGACUAUAGGCAGCUUAUAAUCUUAAAGGGCUUGCCUGAAGGACCUCCAUAGCAAUGGAUGACUUUCUUUUGACUUUACUGGAGUCCAGUAAGCCCUGAGAGUAAGCAAGUGUCAUUUUGCUAUUAAAUUUCACAAUGCCUCUCCAGAUGAAAUUUAUUUUUAUGGAAUCUAUUUAGUCACUAUUUUACAGCACACUUGAACUUUACUAUCAGUGAACUGCCAGUCCCUGUGCAUCCAAUACUGAUUAGGCAAAGGAAAAUCUUUGGGGAAGGAACAUCAGUCUUUGUAUUGAAAAAAUAGUCCUCUGCAAAUAAUAUAAAGCACUUCUAGGUCUUCCAUUUCUGUGAGUCACUGAAUGAGUCAAAGACAGCUUCCUGGGUUCCAGAAUAAAUUUAAAUAUCUGUUUAAAUGUUCAGAAAACUAACUGAGAUAUUAAUAAUAUUUUAAUAUUUUCCAUGAAAAAAGAAAUCCUUUAAGCUACACAUUUCAACUUCUAGAAGAAUGCAUAUAUUUAUAUAAAUUCUAAGUCAUUGGGCUUUGGGGCAGCAAGGGAAAAAAAUGGCAAUUUGAGGAGAUGAAAUUUUCACAUAAGCUCAGCAAGAGUCUCCUGGUGUCCCCAUCAGCCUGCUGCUCCAGCCCUUGCUUGUCACUAUUUCACUGCUUAAACCAUUCAAGAAGGAUCUAGGGUUUGGAUCUUGGCCAACCUCAUCACAGUCUUCAGUGCUAGGGCACAGAUCAGGGAUGCAGGAACCUCAGAGACAACAGGCUAGGGUAACAAAGAGAAAGGUAGGUCCAUUUAUUCCAGUUUCUCUACAGGCACAGCUGAAUGGGUGAUGGGGACAAGGGCUGCUUCUUUGUGGGGCAGAUGCUGAGUGCUGGGACAUGGGGCUGGUGUUUGUACCCUGUUCUUUGGAAAGGAAAGGCAGCAAAUAAAAUUUAGGAGCAGUGAUGUUAGACACCCACAGUGCCAAAGCACUGAACCAUCAAGCUGGAUUCCCAGCCCUUAGAGGUUGGUGCCAAGAAUGGAAACAAGUUUAUUAGCUGCUGCAAUGCAGUCCUAAAAGAUGCCGUCUGCAGCUUUCUGUCCUUUGCAAAUCGGUAUGCAGAGGAAAAAACAAAGGAUUGCCUUUGCUGCUGUUUUGCAGGAAAUAAAACAUUUUCACAGCUGUUUCAGAGGUGUGCCUUUUAGCGUCUUUGGGUUUUAUAAAGACCUGAAAUAUAUUUCUCUCCCUUACAAAAACAGAAAAUCUUUUUUUUUUUCUUUUUUUUUUUUUCAUACAUUACAUACAAGUCAUAAAGCCUUGGCUUCUUUGCGAAACUGAGAUUCUCACAAUUCCACUCCUUGCCAUCUCCCCAUCACCUAAAAAAAAUAAAAUAAUAAUUAAAAAAAAAAGAACAGGAAACUGACAAACAUUUUGGGGAACGCUGCAGUAUCACACUGCCUCAAGAAAUCCUGCACCUCAGUGUUCAAGUUUUCCACUUAGUUCUGUGGUAAAAGCAGAAAAAAAUUGCAGGCCUUGAUGUGUAGGUUGUGCACGGGUUACUGACAAUUAGCAGCAGCUCUGCUCUGCCGCUGUAGUUUGUAGGUUCAGCAUCAGUGAUUCCUCGUUUUGGCCUGCCACAACUGAAGCUGGGCAAAAUGACACAUCAAUUUGAAAGUCGUAAUCAUAAUAUGGGAAGCUGAGGAGUAUAACAGUGAGCAAAAAUAAAAAAGAGUUUCAGCAUUUCUUUGUUUAACGGAUCGCAAAUAUUAAAGAAGGCCCUCAUAUAUUGUUCUUUUCUCCUAAGUUACGUGUGAACCAUAUGCACACAUUUCAGAAGUACAAACCUUGUGUUUUCACUGCCUAAUCACAAAAAAAAUAUAAUUAAAAAAAAAAAAAUUAAAAAAUUUAAAAAAGAAUCAAUAGGUUUGCAAUGGUCUCUAGUGUGACUUUUUAGAGUUAGGUGCCCAGUGCAGAACUCAUGUACCAGUGAUGCUGCAGGGAUCAGCAGUGAGGUCUGACAGCAGGGUGCAGAACAGCCAGCACAACACACAUUUAGUAAAAGGAUGAAUUAGGUGGCCACUACCGAGGAGAGGAACAUACCUCCAACUUUGCCAUCUUCUAGAAGUACUCUUAUUCACGAAACUCCUUUCCAGACCCUGAAGUCUCUUCCUGUGCUUGCACGCACAGAUUUUGCAUUUAGGUAGGGAUUCCAGGCAGGAUGCAGGGGGGAAUGCCGGGCCUGCCCCUGUGCUAAGGCCAGAACUCCAGGCCCUAAAUCUUUCCUUAUCCUGAGCAGAUUGAGGCCAAAGCUCCAUUGGGGAGUCUCCUGUCUGUAGGCAUGGGACACAGUCCCUCUCGCCAGAUGAGGAAAGGCUGCCAUGUCGCCUGAUCUGCAGCAGCGCUGCUGAGGAAGGGGAGGUCCAGGAGAUAGGGCUCUGUGCUGCGAGGUCCAAGAAGAGACAGGGCUCUGUGGUGCAAAGAUCCAGACAUGAGAACACCCCAGGCAUGCCCCCAGCACAUCAGGUCCCCAUGAGACACAGGCAUGGAACCCAUGGGCCUGUGACUUCUCAGGUGGCCUCAGCAGAGGACGGGUGCAUAGAUGUCCACUCAAGCUGAGGUGGCAUGAACAGGCAGUGGUGAGUCUUCAGGCUGUUGUGAUGUAUUUCUGCCUUUCAGGAGCUACAGUACCAGAGUUAGACCAGUUCUCAACACCUGAUGAAAAGUAAGUUACUUCCUAAUGCUACAAAAAGCCUGUUAAAAAAAAAAAGUGCACAUGCAGAUAGAUUCAAAUACUUGAAAUUCAAAUUCCAAUAGUGUAUUCUGUGUUCAUUCCUUUGUUAUUAUUACUAAAAUCAUUUUCUUCUUUUGUUCAGGAAUCACGGAGUCUCCUGCUUAGCGUUAAGUUAUUGCAUGAUAUAGAAUCAAUUCCAAAUGGGUGGUUUUUUACUGUGUAUGUCUUGGAUUUAGUUUUUCAGUUAUUUUUCGUAAAUACAUUUUACAUCUAACUACCUCAGCUGCCUUUUGUUUUGUUUUGGCGCAUAAAAAGUCAUGCACUUUCUAUAUUUGGGGAUUGGGGGGAGGAGUUCUUUCCAUUUUGAAUAACCAGGUUUAAAGCCAUGUUGAUCAAUUUAUAGAGGAGAACAAGAAAACCUAAUUAUUGACAGCUGUAGAACAUACAUUUUAUUUUUAGGUUCCGUUGGGGUAUAGUUUGGCAAAAAACACCAUAAGCUGCUUGUUAAUUUGCCUUAAAAAAUGCGUGCUCUUUCCUAUUCAAGUUGUGUUAUUUAACUCUUAUCUUGUACACAAUUUAUGUGACAACAACAAACGUAACAGUUGGCAGAAAAACAGCAAAUUGAACAGAAUGGACCAAUAGUUUCUCAGUUCUCUGUUGCAAACUGUUGCAUUAUACACUGAUUGUGCUAAAAUAACUGUUACUGUGCUUAUACUCCUUUGUCACCGUUGCAGAAAUAAAGUUACAGAAGAUCACAUUUGUGUUUAUGGAGCAGUGUAGAUAUCCCCCCAGUACAAGCACAGUGACUUGAGGUGAAUGAUAAUCAUUGCAGAACUUGUGCUUUGACUUGUAAACAUUGUAAAAAUGUAUUUGGUAUUUUAUUUGAAAUGAAGAAUCAAAAUAGUUACUAAAAAAAGAAUCUUCCUGUAAAUAUAUAUAUUCCAAUUCCAUGUAUACAAACAUUCCUUUAGAAUUCAGAUUGUGAAGAGUGUCUUUAUCGGCUAGAGACUGCUGUCUCCCUGGCAGAGGUUACAUGUGCUAUAGUAAAGAACACAGUGUGUGAAGUAUUUGAUGUACUGCAGUACCAUAGUUCUUUUGGUCUGUUAAGUAAGUUGCAAUUUGUGAUGAAAUGAAGUUGAAAGUAGUGCUUCAUACUAACAAAUUUCCUUGGUUACAACUUGAUUUUUCUUGUAAAACUUAAAAAGGAAAACUUGAAAAUUUUAUAUAUUUGGAUUUUGUAGAUUUUUUUUAUUUUAUUGCAACACAAGGUACCAAAAUCAUUAAAUAAAGUACACUGUGGUCAUUUUA